AGUACCAGUGAUGAUAAAAUAAUUUGUCAUAAUUGUCAUGAUGAAUUUUAACAUGCACUACCAGCUGAGGUACU
Molecule: small nucleolar RNA, 74 nt
Organism: Argiope bruennichi
Lineage: Eukaryota; Metazoa; Arthropoda; Arachnida; Araneae; Araneidae
Source: RefSeq, a predicted model, not a curated record